This 599-nucleotide ribosomal RNA is filed under the name uncultured archaeon. RNAcentral's name for it is "bacterial SSU rRNA". It matches the Rfam family "Archaeal small subunit ribosomal RNA", at positions 30 to 637 of the family's 1478-position model. The record is from RNAcentral.
CUUUUGGAGUUCGACUUAGACAUGCAAGUUAGAUCGCAAGAUCAGCGUACGGCUCAGUAACACGUGGGCAACUGCCCUAAGGACCGGCAUAACCUUGGGAAACUGAGGGUAAUAUCGGAUAUUGCAAGGCAAUUGGAAAAUACCUUGCUUCAAAUCAUUUAUGGCCUUAGGAUGGGCCUGCGGCAGAUUAGCCUGUUGGUGGGGUAAUGGCCCACCAAAGCAAUAAUCUGUACGGGCGAUGGGAGUCGGAGCCCGGAGAGGGGGACUGAGACAAGGCCCCCAGCCCUACGGGGUGCAGCAGUUACGAAAACUUUACAAUGCGCGAAAGCGUGAUAGGGGAACUCCAAGUGAUUACACACAUGUGUAAUCUUUUGCCAUGUGCAAAUAGCUUGGCGAAUAAGGGCUGGGUAAGAUUCGUGCCAGCCGCCGCGGUAAUACGGACAGCCCGAGCGGUACUCGUGAAUAUUGGGCUUAAAGCGUUCGUAGCUGGUCCAGUAAGUUUUCUGUGAAAUCUUGUGGCUCAACUGCAAGAAGUGCAGAAAAUACUGUUGGACUUGGAGGCGGGAAAGGUCAGGGGUACUUGUGGGGUAGCGGUAGAA